GUGCAUAAUACAUGCAAGUCGAACGAACUCUGGUAUUGAUUGGUGCUUGCAUCAUGAUUUACAUUUGAGUGAGUGGCGAACUGGUGAGUAACACGUGGGAAACCUGCCCAGAAGCGGGGGAUAACACCUGGAAACAGAUGCUAAUACCGCAUAACAACUUGGACCGCAUGGUCCGAGUUUGAAAGAUGGCUUCGGCUAUCACUUUUGGAUGGUCCCGCGGCGUAUUAGCUAGAUGGUGGGGUAACGGCUCACCAUGGCAAUGAUACGUAGCCGACCUGAGAGGGUAAUCGGCCACAUUGGGACUGAGACACGGCCCAAACUCCUACGGGAGGCAGCAGUAGGGAAUCUUCCACAAUGGACGAAAGUCUGAUGGAGCAACGCCGCGUGAGUGAAGAAGGGUUUCGGCUCGUAAAACUCUGUUGUUGAAGAAGAACAUAUCUGAGAGUAACUGUUCAGGUAUUGACGGUAUUUAACCAGAAAGCCACGGCUAACUACGUGCCAGCAGCCGCGGUAAUACGUAGGUGGCAAGCGUUGUCCGGAUUUAUUGGGCGUAAAGCGAGCGCAGGCGGUUUUUUAAGUCUGAUGUGAAAGCCUUCGGCUCAACCGAAGAAGUGCAUCGGAAACUGGGAAACUUGAGUGCAGAAGAGGACAGUGGAACUCCAUGUGUAGCGGUGAAAUGCGUAGAUAUAUGGAAGAACACCAGUGGCGAAGGCGGCUGUCUGGUCUGUAACUGACGCUGAGGCUCGAAAGUAUGGGUAGCAAACAGGAUUAGAUACCCUGGUAGUCCAUACCGUAAACGAUGAAUGCUAAGUGUUGGAGGGUUUCCGCCCUUCAGUGCUGCAGCUAACGCAUUAAGCAUUCCGCCUGGGGAGUACGGCCGCAAGGCUGAAACUCAAAGGAAUUGACGGGGGCCCGCACAAGCGGUGGAGCAUGUGGUUUAAUUCGAAGCUACGCGAAGAACCUUACCAGGUCUUGACAUACUAUGCAAAUCUAAGAGAUUAGACGUUCCCUUCGGGGACAUGGAUACAGGUGGUGCAUGGUUGUCGUCAGCUCGUGUCGUGAGAUGUUGGGUUAAGUCCCGCAACGAGCGCAACCCUUAUUAUCAGUUGCCAGCAUUAAGUUGGGCACUCUGGUGAGACUGCCGGUGACAAACCGGAGGAAGGUGGGGAUGACGUCAAAUCAUCAUGCCCCUUAUGACCUGGGCUACACACGUGCUACAAUGGAUGGUACAACGAGUUGCGAACUCGCGAGAGUAAGCUAAUCUCUUAAAGCCAUUCUCAGUUCGGAUUGUAGGCUGCAACUCGCCUACAUGAAGUCGGAAUCGCUAGUAAUCGCGGAUCAGCAUGCCGCGGUGAAUACGUUCCCGGGCCUUGUACACACCGCCCGUCACACCAUGAGAGUUUGUAACACCCAAAGUCGGUGGGGUAACCUUUUAGGAACCAGCC
RNAcentral lists this ribosomal RNA (1445 nucleotides) under Lactiplantibacillus plantarum. Its description in RNAcentral is "bacterial SSU rRNA". It matches the Rfam family "Bacterial small subunit ribosomal RNA". Lineage: Bacteria; Bacillati; Bacillota; Bacilli; Lactobacillales; Lactobacillaceae. The record is from RNAcentral.